CAGUAGCCGCGGUAAUACGUAGGUGGCAAGCGUUGUCCGGAAUUAUUGGGCGUAAAGGGCUCGCAGGCGGUUUCUUAAGUCUGAUGUGAAAGCCCCCGGCUCAACCGGGGAGGGUCAUUGGAAACUGGGAAACUUGAGUGCAGAAGAGGAGAGUGGAAUUCCACGUGUAGCGGUGAAAUGCGUAGAGAUGCGGAGGAACACCAGUGGCGAAGGCGACUCUCUGGUCUGUAACUGACGCUGAGGAGCGAAAGCGUGGGGAGCGAACAGGAUUAGAUACCCCAGUAGUCCCUGUCUCUUAUAC
RNAcentral lists this ribosomal RNA (301 nucleotides) under uncultured bacterium. RNAcentral's name for it is "partial 16S ribosomal RNA". It matches the Rfam family "Bacterial small subunit ribosomal RNA", at positions 509 to 807 of the family's 1533-position model. The record is from RNAcentral.